RNAcentral lists this microRNA precursor (147 nucleotides) under Otolemur garnettii (small-eared galago). RNAcentral describes it as "miRNA (ENSOGAG00000021306.1)". The record is from RNAcentral. Lineage: Eukaryota; Metazoa; Chordata; Mammalia; Primates; Galagidae.
GACACUCAGUUAAGUCUGAAUUUCAGAUAAACACCAAAUAUUUUUAAGUAUGUACAUGUCUCCCAUGCAAUAUUGGGGACAUACUUAUACUAAAAAAUUAUUUGUUAUUUAUCUGAAAUUCAAGAUUAAAUGAGAGUCCUAUAUUUU